GAUGAACGCUGGCGGCGUGCCUAAUACAUGCAAGUAGAACGCUGAAGGAGGAGCUUGCUCUUUCCGGAUGAGUUGCGAACGGGUGAGUAACGCGUAGGUAACCUGCCUGGUAGCGGGGGAUAACUAUUGGAAACGAUAGCUAAUACCGCAUAACAGUAGAUAUUGCAUGAUAUUUGCUUGAAAGGGGCAAUUGCUCCACUACCAGAUGGACCUGCGUUGUAUUAGCUAGUUGGUGAGGUAACGGCUCACCAAGGCGACGAUACAUAGCCGACCUGAGAGGGUGAUCGGCCACACUGGGACUGGGACACGGCCCAGACUACUACGGGAGGCAGCAGUAGGGAAUCUUCGGCAAUGGACGGAAGUCUGACCGAGCAACGCCGCGUGAGUGAAGAAGGUUUUCGGAUCGUAAAGCUCUGUUGUAAGAGAAGAACGAGUGUGAGAGUGGAAAGUUCACACUGUGACGGUAUCUUACCAGAAAGGGACGGCUAACUACGUG
This 496-nucleotide ribosomal RNA is filed under the name uncultured bacterium. RNAcentral describes it as "partial 16S ribosomal RNA". It matches the Rfam family "Bacterial small subunit ribosomal RNA", at positions 28 to 507 of the family's 1533-position model. The record is from RNAcentral.